RNAcentral lists this ribosomal RNA (510 nucleotides) under Triticum aestivum (bread wheat). Its description in RNAcentral is "partial small subunit ribosomal RNA". The record is from RNAcentral. Lineage: Eukaryota; Viridiplantae; Streptophyta; Magnoliopsida; Poales; Poaceae.
AAGUUGGGUCACAGUGGGGCCAUCUUACUGCUGUUUGAGACACCCUCUGGCUUCGCCGUAUUCGUGUAUGAUGGUGUCCAACUCUACUAGCAAAAAGCCGAGGAGAAAAUCUGGGCCAACUUUGUCAAGGACUACAUGCCGCACAAAGUCAUUUGGCUACAAGAGUUCAGGAGAUUCGAGAACAAGGCCAAUGUAUUUAAUCAUACUGGUGUCAGCAAAGAACUUGCAGAGAUGAUCCAAAGAUGGCACGCCCCUGGUCAGCUGCUAGCUGUCGGAAAGCCUGAGCACAAAGAAAUCAUCGAAGCAAAAUUGAAAAUACGCUGCCUGUAUAAUGAAGCUGUGUUGGAGGUCAUGUGGGGCAUAAAAAAUCUCAUGAAGAGUUUAGUGCCUCUUGAAGAUGGUGAGCUGAGCAAAGAAGACCGGCUUCCGAUGAGUUAUGGGAUGAAAACUGUCCUCAAUCGUCAUGGAUUCGAUGUCACGCCGGAAAUGGUGAGAAUACCUUUCGCUUAA